UUAACAAAGAAUCAAGCAUUGCAUCAGCUGGGAAGAAAACAAAUUCAUAAAGACUAUCAAAUCACCAAAGGCAUGUAAUGAGCACACACCCAUUAUGUUUAUUUCCUCUGGACCCUUGUCAGAUUCUGUAAGAUACUUGAUGCAAGAGCAGU
Molecule: long non-coding RNA, 152 nt
Organism: Stylophora pistillata
Lineage: Eukaryota; Metazoa; Cnidaria; Anthozoa; Scleractinia; Pocilloporidae
Source: RefSeq, a predicted model, not a curated record